UGGCGAACGGGUGAGUAACACGUGAGGAACCUGCCCCGAAGACCGGGAUAACCCUCCGAAAGGAGAGCUAAUACCGGAUACCCCCAUCAGAUCGCAUGGUCAGAUGAGGAAAUGGAUUCCGCUUCGGGAGGGCCUCGCGGCCUAUCAGCUUGUUGGUGGGGUAACGGCCCACCAAGGCAUCGACGGGUAGCUGGUCUGAGAGGACGAUCAGCCACACUGGGACUGAGACACGGCCCAGACUCCUACGGGAGGCAGCAGUGGGGAAUCUUGCGCAAUGGGCGAAAGCCUGACGCAGCAACGCCGCGUGGGGGAUGAAGGCUCUCGGGUUGUAAACCCCUUUCAGUGGGGACGAAAUUGACGGUACCCACAGAAGAAGCCCCGGCCAACUACGUGCCAGCAGCCGCGGUAACACGUAGGGGGCAAGCGUUGUCCGGAUUUAUUGGGCGUAAAGAGCUCGUAGGCGGUUCGGUAAGUCGGGUGUGAAACCUCCAGGCUCAACCUGGAGACGCCACCCGAUAC
This 519-nucleotide ribosomal RNA is filed under the name uncultured Iamia sp. Its description in RNAcentral is "bacterial SSU rRNA". It matches the Rfam family "Bacterial small subunit ribosomal RNA", at positions 96 to 633 of the family's 1533-position model. The record is from RNAcentral. Lineage: Bacteria; Bacillati; Actinomycetota; Acidimicrobiia; Acidimicrobiales; Iamiaceae.